GUCUAGAGAGUGAAGGCCACAAAAAGAGGGAAAGACAGCAUAGGCCCAGAGCUUCCCUUUGGUGCCAUUGCGCUUCCACUGAGAAUCAGGCCCCUCCAAUGUACUGUAAGAUCAGCACCCUACCAGGGUUUUCACUGGGAUUUUGAUACCUGUACAACUUGACCAUUCCUGGUUGCCAUUUUUCUAAUAGAAGGUGAAAGACUGAGAGGAAACAGAAGAGAGAAAUAGAGACACAGAGAAGAAACAAUACUGUAGCCCUGCUUCACCACUCACCACUCAUGAACCUUCCCUCCAGCAGCUGGGGACUGGGGUUUCAAUCCUUGUAUUCGUACAUAGUAAGUAACGUGUAUUCUACUAGGUGUACCACCACCUGGUCCCCAUUAAUGUGUUUUUUCUUUUUGUUUUACUAACCUCUCACUAAGGAUUUGUUAAUUUUGCUUUUUUAAAAUCAUCUUGUUUUCUGUUUUAUCUCUCAUUUUUAUUGUUUUCCUUCUGCUGACUGUCUUCAUUUGUCUUUUUUUGUUGUUGUUCUAGGUCUUUUAAUUGUAAUGUAAAAUUGCUUGCUUGAGAUCUUUCUUGAUUCAUGAAAUAUAAACCAGAAUUACUAUGAACUCCUUAAUAUUAAUUUUGUAGUGUCCAAUGGAGUCUGAUAACUUGUGUCCUCAUUUCAUCUGUUUCCAGAAAAUUUCUCGUUGAUGCAAUGUUUAUUUAAUGUGUUGUUUGUCCUCCAUCUAUUUGAACUUCCAUUUUUUUGGUUGAUUUUACUUUUUAUUGUGAUCAGAAAAGAUGUUUAAUAGAUUUCAAUCUUUCUGAAUUUAUUGACACUUAUUUUAUGUCCCAACAUAUCUUUGAGAAUGUUCUAGAAGCUCUGUAAACAAAUACUUCUUCAGCCUUUGGGGACUGAGUGCCCUGUUAAUCACAAAUAAAACCAACUGGUCAAACUCUU
Erinaceus europaeus (western European hedgehog) is the source of this 946-nucleotide long non-coding RNA. RefSeq lists it as uncharacterized. NCBI's taxonomy places the organism in Eukaryota, Metazoa, Chordata, Mammalia, Eulipotyphla, Erinaceidae. The transcript has 2 exons. The record is from RefSeq and is a predicted model, not a curated record.